Molecule: long non-coding RNA, 2998 nt
Organism: Ostrinia nubilalis (European corn borer)
Lineage: Eukaryota; Metazoa; Arthropoda; Insecta; Lepidoptera; Crambidae
Exons: 4
Source: RefSeq, a predicted model, not a curated record
UGACAUGAUAUUUCAUCCAAAUUCUGCCAAAAUUUACCAGUUUUUUAUGAGUUUUCAUACCUUCUACUGAAUGAAUUAUAUACGAAUAUUGUCCAAAAGUUCUCUUCUUUCAUCAUCUUCUUCAAAUAAAUCUAUAACGCCUUCUGAAGAAGUAACUAAAUUACAAUCUGAAGUAGAAAAACUUAAGCAAACAAUCGAAUCUUUAAAACAAACUGUAGAAGGAAGAGAUGCCGCUAUCGGAACCCUAGCGCGUGAAAAAGAAAAAUUGUACGUUGAACUUAAGACAGCUCAAAGAACUACCAGAAAUUUACACCAGCAAUUAGAAGACGAAAGAGACAUGCACACGAAAGAAAAGGAAUUUUUAAUUGAUGAAAUCAAAAGAAUCGCAAACAAAAACGAAUCGGAGAGUAAUUACAACUAUUACAAUCAAGGAGAUACAAUUGACAGCAUAAUAAGAGAGGAACUGAGAUCAAAGGAUGAAAUUAUUUGUAACAUUUGUAAUAAAUACUUAAAAAUUAAAGAGAGCAAGAAGGCAUUGCUAAGAAACAUUAAAACACUGCAAAGUGAAAGUCAGAAAGUAGACAUGUGAAAAUAUAAUAUUACUUUUGGAAGAAAAUAAAAAAUCUCUCGAUGAACUAUUAAGAACAUUAGUUGAAUAUGGUAAUGUACCACCAGAUAGUAAAAAGUAUUUUAAGAUCCUUCGUCACAAUGCGAGCCUACAUUACGAAAAUACUCAGCUAAAAGUUCGCUUAACAUCCUCAUUGCAUAAGUUUGCAAAUUAUUUAUGUAAAAAUAUUCAUGCAGAAUACUUAGGAAAAAGAAAAGACAGGACUAAUGCUUUUAAGUAUUCAGAAUUAAUUAUGAGAUAUCACAUUAUGAAAUCGAAUAAUCAUUUGUAUAAUGCCUGCAAAAUUACUUCUUCCAUUAAUAGGUCAAACUCUGACACUUGCUUGGUUCUCCUAAGAAAAUAAGUAAAGUAAUAAAUGAAUUGUAACAGUUUUUUUCUUUACAUUUAUUUAAUUAAAUGAGUUUAAAGAAGGAAUUACAGUAGGUACACACGGCCACACUGUUAACUAUCCAUGUCCGUUUUUGCUCUCACUCUCAUGAAAUGGUGAUUCUUUGCGAUAGAACGAGACGACAUGACACACUGUUGCCGAUGGUACCUAGGCAAUAUUGGACAUAAUACCUAUCUACCAAGAAGGAAAAAGAGGUACAUAUUUUAAUUAAACAAGUUUUCAAUAAUUCUUUCAACUAUUCCAUUAGACCUAUUAGCACUAGCCUUUGUCUUCUUUUUUGCUACGUUGUGUGAAAUGUUAUUGAGAUUAAACCACAGGAAUAAACCGACCAGAGCGCCCUCCUUGAACUGUCAGUAAUUCACGGUUGUUUUGUAUUUUCUUCGUAUUCGGUUAAAGUAAAAAAAAAAAUUGUCUCUGGUUAUUCGGACUGCCAUAUGCAUAAAUUUAUGGUUUCCCUGUAAUUGAGGUAAAUUGUUUUACAAUGACAACAUUUCUGGAAAAGUAAAAUGCACAAUAUUUUUCUUACAAAUAACUAGUGGCACUUUUUGAUCGAAUCAAAAAUAGAAUCCGUUGUAACUACAUACAAAAAAAGAUCUUUCGACACUACAAUUGUCACGUUUUGUCAUGGGGGCUGCUAUCUAAUCAAAAUUCAGCAGUAUUCUAUAGGUAACUAUUCUUUUAGCCUUACUACACGGUGUGUUCGGUGAACUUCGGUGGGAUAUUAUUAAAUAGGUACAUUUUUAUUUAUUUAUUUAUUUAUUUUCCACACUUAUAACUAUCAUUACAGGUUGACGCCUAAUGCGAUAGUAUAACAUACUUUGUUAAAUAAUGCUUAAUCUAAACUUAUAUCUAUAACCAUAUUCUAAUAAUCUUAACAAUAACAAAUCACGUAUAGAGCAGCUAUUGUGAACUCAUUCAGAGAGCAAGCAAAUAAGUCAAUUCGAUCCGCUAACGUAUUAAUAAGGCGCAAUACAUAAUUACAAGACUUGAUCAAUCAACCAUUUUAAGGAAUAAUAAGACUUUUUCUAUGUGAUGUAUAAGUACGCUUUUAAUAUUAUUAUGUUUAGGUAUGUAUUGAUAAGUUAUUAAGCUUGAUCUGUGGUUGACUGGUAGAGAAUGCCACCCGGCAUUAAGUCCGCUACCAUAAAUCACUUUUGUGUGCAAAAGAUUAAAUAAAUACUUAAAUAAAAAGGAAGCUAGAAACAUUGAAUUUUCGGAUAGAUCCAGUUUAUUCUGUAAUUAUUGAUAUCGUUUGAAAGAGCUCGUAAAGCACUUUCACGAUCAGUAUAAUCAGUCAGAUUCUCAAUAUCUUGUAUAGUUUAGAAAUAAUCGAGUGAGAUCACUUAUGGUUUCCACCCUGUAUAAUAAGAUUUUAUUACCGCUUCCUAAAUAAAUGAAACAAUAGGUAUGUAUUUAAUUAUUAUUAUGGUAGGUUUUUAGGUUUAUAGGCAUAUCUACCUAAUACACCCACAUAAUAAUAAAAUAAUAUAAAAACUGGUUUCCUAGGUUUAAUACAUACCUAGAUCUACCUAUCAAAGAACGAUAACACAAAAACAAAGAAAAACGAAGGAAAUACAGGUCCAACAUUACUGUAUUCAACAUAUUUAAAUAUAUUUUCGGCUAGGAUCUACAUUGUUAUUAUUUUUAUAAUUUACUAAACAAAUUAACAUUUAAGUAUGCUUGGGUAAAUAAAGAAAAUACAGCAAAAGCUUGCUGGUUAAUCAUAAAACUCAAAUUGCAUACGAUUUUAUUCUAAUAUUACCUCUACCUAUCUUUCUUCCAUGGAACAUGUACUAAUGUUAAGUUUUUCAAGCUACUACAAACUCUAGUUGUAUUUGUAAAGGCUGUUGAAGUUCAUAUUAAAUAAAUACCACAAAUUUCAUGCCACGUGCUGUUUGUUUUGCGAAGUUUCCCCGCGCUGAGAAAGAGAGAGAGGGUCAUUUGGGGUGGGACUGUCCAUUGUUGCGGUUGCGAAACGUAGU